GAUGAAGAACGCAGCGAAAUGCGAUAAGUAGUGUGAAUUGCAGAAUUCAGUGAAUCAUCGAAUCUUUGAACGCACAUUGCGCCCCUUGGUACUCCAUGGGGCAUACCUGUUCGAGCGUCAUUUACACCCUCAAGCUCAGCUUGGUGUUGGGCGUCUGUCCCGCUUCGUGCGCGGACUCGCCUCAAAUGCAUUGGCAGCGGUCUUGCCAGCUUCUCGCGCAGCACAUUGCGCUUCUAGAGGCUUUGGCGGAUCGGCGUCCAUCAAGUACACCCACAGUUUGACCUCGGAUCAGGUAGGGAUACCCGCUGAACUUAAGCAUAUCAAUAAGCGGAGGA
Molecule: unclassified non-coding RNA, 335 nt
Filed under: soil metagenome
Description: partial contains 5.8S ribosomal RNA, internal transcribed spacer 2, and large subunit ribosomal RNA
Rfam family: 5.8S ribosomal RNA (bases 1-120)
Source: RNAcentral